UACGUAGGGGGCAAGCGUUAUCCGGAUUUAUUGGGUUUAAAGGGUGCGUAGGCGGCAUUAUAAGUUAGUGGUAAAAUAUUGGGGCUUCACCUCACUACGCCAUUAAUACUGUAGAGCUAGAGAACAGACGAGGUAGGCGGAAUAAGUUAAGUAGCGGUGAAAUGCAUAGAUAUAACUUAGAACACCGAUAGCGAAGGCAUCUCACGAAUCCGCGAUUGACGCUGAUGCACGAAAGCGUGGGUAUCGAACAGG
Molecule: ribosomal RNA, 252 nt
Filed under: uncultured Odoribacter sp.
Lineage: Bacteria; Pseudomonadati; Bacteroidota; Bacteroidia; Bacteroidales; Odoribacteraceae
Description: partial 16S ribosomal RNA
Rfam family: Bacterial small subunit ribosomal RNA
Source: RNAcentral